GACGAACGCUGGCGGCGUGCUUAACACAUGCUUUUCGAACGGAAAGGCCCUGCUUUUGUGGGGUGCUCGAGUGGCGAACGGGUGAGUAACACGUGAGUAACCUGCCCUUGACUUUGGGAUAACUUCAGGAAACUGGGGCUAAUACCGGAUAGGAGCUCCUGCUGCAUGGUGGGGGUUGGAAAGUUUCGGCGGUUGGGGAUGGACUCGCGGCUUAUCAGCUUGUUGGUGGGGUAGUGGCUUACCAAGGCUUUGACGGGUAGCCGGCCUGAGAGGGUGACCGGCCACAUUGGGACUGAGAUACGGCCCAGACUCCUACGGGAGGCAGCAGUGGGGAAUAUUGCACAAUGGGCGGAAGCCUGAUGCAGCAACGCCGCGUGCGGGAUGACGGCCUUCGGGUUGUAAACCGCUUUCGCCUGUGACGAAGCGUGAGUGACGGUAAUGGGUAAAGAAGCACCGGCUAACUACGUGCCAGCAGCCGCGGUGAUACGUAGGGUGCGAGCGUUGUCCGGAUUUAUUGGGCGUAAAGGGCUCGUAGGUGGUUGAUCGCGUCGGAAGUGUAAUCUUGGGGCUUAACCCUGAGCGUGCUUUCGGAUACGGGUUGACUUGAGGAAGGUAGGGGAGAAUGGAAUUCCUGGUGGAGCGGUGGAAUGCGCAGAUAUCAGGAGGAACACCAGUGGCGAAGGCGGUUCUCUGGGCCUUUCCUGACGCUGAGGAGCGAAAGCGUGGGGAGCGAACAGGCUUAGAUACCCUGGUAGUCCACGCUGUAAACGGUGGGUACUAGGUGUGGGGUCCAUUCCACGGGUUCCGUGCCGUAGCUAACGCUUUAAGUACCCCGCCUGGGGAGUACGGCCGCAAGGCUAAAACUCAAAGGAAUUGACGGGGCCCCGCACAAGCGGCGGAGCAUGCGGAUUAAUUCGAUGCAACGCGUAGAACCUUACCUGGGUUUGACAUGGAUCGGGAGUGCUCAGAGAUGGGUGUGCCUCUUUUGGGGUCGGUUCACAGGUGGUGCAUGCCUGUCGUCAGCUCGUGUCGUGAGAUGUUGGGUUAAGUCCCGCAACGAGCGCAACCCUUGUUCACUGUUGCCAGCACGUUAUGGUGGGGACUCAGUGGAGACCGCCGGGGUCAACUCGGAGGAAGGUGGGGAUGACGUCAAGUCCUCAUGCCCCUUAUGUCCAGGGCUUCACGCAUGCUACAAUGGCUGGUACAGAGAGUGGCGAGCCUGUGAGGGUGAGCGAAUCUCGGAAAGCCGGUCUCAGUUCGGAUUGGGGUCUGCAACUCGACCUCAUGAAGUCGGAGUCGCUAGUAAUCGCAGAUCAGCAACGCUGCGGUGAAUACGUUCCCGGGGCU
This 1347-nucleotide ribosomal RNA is filed under the name uncultured bacterium. Its description in RNAcentral is "bacterial SSU rRNA". It matches the Rfam family "Bacterial small subunit ribosomal RNA", at positions 28 to 1381 of the family's 1533-position model. The record is from RNAcentral.